UGGGGAAUCUUCCGCAAUGGACGAAAGUCUGACGGAGCAACGCCGCGUGAGUGAUGACGGCCUUCGGGUUGUAAAGCUNUGUUAAUCGGGACGAAAGGCCUUCUUGCGAAUAGUUAGAAGGAUUGACGGUACCGGAAUAGAAAGCCACGGCUAACUACGUGCCAGCAGCCGCGGUAAUACGUAGGUGGCAAGCGUUGUCCGGAAUUAUUGGGCGUAAAGCGCGCGCAGGCGGAUUGGUCAGUCUGUCUUAAAAGUUCGGGGCUUAACCCCGUGAUGGGAUGGAAACUGCCAAUNNAGAGUAUNGGAGAGGAAAGUGGAAUUCCUAGUGUAGCGGUGAAAUGCGUAGAUAUUAGGAAGAACACCAGUGGCGAAGGCGACUUUCUGGACGAAAACUGACGCUGAGGCGCGAAAGCCAGGGGAGCGAACGGGAUUAGAUACCCCGGUAGUCCUGGCCGUAAACGAUGGGUACUAGGUGUAGGAGGUAUCGACCCCUUCUGUGCCGAAGUUAACGCAAUAAGUACCCCGCCUGGGGAGUACGACCGCAAGGUUG
RNAcentral lists this ribosomal RNA (550 nucleotides) under uncultured bacterium. RNAcentral's name for it is "bacterial SSU rRNA". It matches the Rfam family "Bacterial small subunit ribosomal RNA", at positions 355 to 896 of the family's 1533-position model. The record is from RNAcentral.